Molecule: long non-coding RNA, 380 nt
Filed under: Brassica rapa (field mustard)
Lineage: Eukaryota; Viridiplantae; Streptophyta; Magnoliopsida; Brassicales; Brassicaceae
Description: long non-coding RNA (BRAP_LNC000478)
Source: RNAcentral
AAAAUUUGACUUGACUUGUAUUAAAAUGACAAAUCUACUAUUAUUCAAACAUGAAUUUUAAAAACACAAUUAAAAUCUACUAUUAUUGAAUUAGACAUUUCAUAAAGUACUCUGAAAUCCGCUAUUAUUGAAAAUAUUUUAAGUUGUGGAAUUUAACUGUUUCAAGUGACUUUAGAGUUUUGGAAGGAGAAACUUAGUUAAAAAAAAAAAGAAAAAUCAAAUUCCACGGUUUUAGAUAAUAUUCUAGAGUGGUUUAAAAAAAUCACUUAAACUCGUAUCAUACUGCAAUGAACAUAUGACUUAAUUAUAAUAAAUUACUAGAGCUUGACCUGCGCAUCCACGCGGGUAUUGGUUAUUACGUUUUUAUAAUUGAUAUUUUU